This 253-nucleotide ribosomal RNA is filed under the name uncultured bacterium. Its description in RNAcentral is "partial 16S ribosomal RNA". It matches the Rfam family "Bacterial small subunit ribosomal RNA", at positions 524 to 776 of the family's 1533-position model. The record is from RNAcentral.
UACAGAGGGUGCGAGCGUUAAUCGGAAUUACUGGGCGUAAAGCGCACGUAGGCGGCUUGGUAUGUCGGGUGUGAAAUCCCCGGGCUCAACCUGGGAACUGCAUCCGAAGCUGCCUUGCUCGAGUAUGGGAGAGGGAAGUGGAAUUUCCGGUGUAGCGGUGAAAUGCGUAGAUAUCGGAAGGAACAUCAGUGGCGAAGGCGACUUCCUGGACCAAUACUGACGCUCAGGUGCGAAAGCGUGGGGAGCAAACAGG